GAUGAAGAACGUAGUGAAAUGCGAUAAGUAAUGUGAAUUGUAGAAUUCAGUGAAUCAUCGAAUCUUUGAACGCACCUUGCGCCCCUUGGUUAUUCCAAAGGGCAUGCCUGUUUGAGUAUCAUGAACACCUCAACUCUUGUGGUUUCCCACAAUGAGCUUGGACUGUGGAGGUUUUGUUGGCCCUGUGGUCAGCUCCUCUCAAAUGGAUCAGCUUACCGGUGUUUGGUGGCAUUACGGGUGUGAUAACUAUCUACGCUCGUGGUCGUCUCCAAAUAACCUCCAGUGAUGGAGGUUCGCUGGAGCUUAUAAAUGUCUCUCCCCAGUGAAGACAGCCUUUGAACGUUCGAUCUCAAAUCAGGUAGGACUACCCGCUGAACUUAAGCAUAUCAAUAAGCGGAGGA
Molecule: unclassified non-coding RNA, 401 nt
Filed under: soil metagenome
Description: partial contains 5.8S ribosomal RNA, internal transcribed spacer 2, and large subunit ribosomal RNA
Rfam family: 5.8S ribosomal RNA (bases 1-121)
Source: RNAcentral